GGAUUGUGGCUCAGCGGUAGAGCACUUGCCUAGCACGUGUGAGGCCUUAGGUUUGAUCCUCAGCACCA
RNAcentral lists this transfer RNA (68 nucleotides) under Marmota monax (woodchuck). RNAcentral's name for it is "tRNA.Ala". Lineage: Eukaryota; Metazoa; Chordata; Mammalia; Rodentia; Sciuridae. The record is from RNAcentral.